CCCUUAGAUGUUCCGGGCCGCACGCGCACUACACUGAUGCAUUCAACGAGUCUAAAACCUGGUCUGAUAGGGCUGGGUAAUCUUUUGAAUGUGCAUCGUGAUUGGGAUAGAUGAUUGCAAUUCUUCAUCUUCAACGAGGAAUGCCUAGUAAACGCAAGUCAUCAGCUUGCAUUGAUUACGUCCCUGCCCUUUGUACACACCGCCCGUCGCUCCUACCGAUUGAAUGUUCCGAUGAAUACCAUGGACUGAGAGUAUGAAUGGGUUCGCCUAUUUCUGCUUCUCGGGAAGUGGAGUAAAUCUUAACAUUUAGAGGAAGGAGAAGUCGUAACA
This 330-nucleotide ribosomal RNA is filed under the name uncultured eukaryote. RNAcentral describes it as "partial 18S ribosomal RNA". It matches the Rfam family "Eukaryotic small subunit ribosomal RNA", at positions 1470 to 1796 of the family's 1831-position model. The record is from RNAcentral.